This 254-nucleotide ribosomal RNA is filed under the name uncultured bacterium. RNAcentral's name for it is "partial 16S ribosomal RNA". It matches the Rfam family "Bacterial small subunit ribosomal RNA", at positions 524 to 776 of the family's 1533-position model. The record is from RNAcentral.
UACGUAGGCAGCAAGCGUUUGUCCGGAAUCAUUGGGCGUAAAGAGCGCGUAGGCGGUCCGGUAAGUCCGCUCUGAAAGUCCGGGGCUCAACCCCGGGAGGCGGGCGGAUACUGUCGGGCUAGAGUCCGGAAGAGGCGAGUGGAAUUCCUGGUGUAGCGGUGAAAUGCGCAGAUAUCAGGAGGAACACCGGUGGCGAAGGCGGGUCUCUGGGCAGUAACUGACGCUGAGGAGCGAAAGCGUGGGGAGCGAACAGG